GAUGAACGCUAGCGGGAGGCCUAACACAUGCAACCGAGCGGGAUUGUUGGUUAGCUUGCUAACUAACGAUGAGAGCGGCGUACGGGUGCGGAACAUGUGUGCAAUCUGCCCUUAUCAAGGGGAUAGCCCAGAGAAAUCUGGAUUAAUACCCUAUAACAUAUGGGAUGGCAUCAUUCAUAUUAAAAGCUACGGCGGAUAAGGAUGAGCACGCACAAGAUUAGCUAGUUGGUAAGGUAACGGCUUACCAAGGCGACGAUCUUUAGGGGGCCUGAGAGGGUGAUCCCCCACACUGGGACUGAGACACGGCCCAGACUCCUACGGGAGGCAGCAGUGAGGAAUAUUGGACAAUGGGUGAAAGCCUGAUCCAGCCAUCCCGCGUGCAGGACGACUGCCCUAUGGGUUGUAAACUGCUUUUAUAUAGGGAUAAACCUACUACUCGUGAGAGUAGCUGAAGGUACUAUAUGAAUAAGCACCG
This 475-nucleotide ribosomal RNA is filed under the name Bergeyella sp. oral taxon 322. Its description in RNAcentral is "bacterial SSU rRNA". It matches the Rfam family "Bacterial small subunit ribosomal RNA", at positions 28 to 495 of the family's 1533-position model. The record is from RNAcentral. Lineage: Bacteria; Pseudomonadati; Bacteroidota; Flavobacteriia; Flavobacteriales; Weeksellaceae.